ACAGUCAUCAAACCAGUUUCAGAUUUUGACACCACAGUAGCAGCAGCAGCUCCUGGCACAGGCUCAGGCGCAGGGAAGUCUUGGGAGCUCACCUAGUUAUGGAGAUUUGGAUCCUCGAAGAUUUAGGCUUUUACCUAGGGGUAGCUUGAAUGGGAAAGAUGGUCAGCCCACAGGAAAUGAUGGUUCUGUAGGCUCCCCAAUUCAAUCAAGUUCACCAAAGGUCAGAUUAGGUCCACAGGAUCAAGCAGAAUUUCUCGUGAAGGGUGUUGGCGGAUGGGCAUAUCCCAUGGGUGUGUGAGUCAUUCUCAAGGCUACUUGGACGGGACCUUGUCCGAGCGCCAGCUCUGAUUUGGCAAAGGUCUCUGCUUCCUGCUUUUAAAUCUGCAGAAAUGCGCACCUUAGCAGAGAGUUUUAAGUAGGAAUAUCAUUCGUGGGAAUCUAGAUGUGAAGUGGGAAAGCAUCAAGGGGUUAGAGAAUGCAAAGCGCCUUCUCAAGGAAGCAGUUGUGACGCCAAUAAAGUAUCCCAAUGCUGCACAUUGCGUAAUUGCAUGAAAGAAACUGAAGCUGAAAAGUCUCAUUGUUAGAUGGAUAUUAGAGUAUUGAGCUUGAUUAGAAGUUGUUAGAUGGAGAUUAGAGUUUUGAGCUUGAUCAGACUAAGUUGGGAGAUUGAUUCUGUUCAUCAGCUUAUCCCAUUUCGGCUGCAUUAGGAGUUUUGGCCAUGUUUGGUUGCAGCACUGAUAAUUGGUGGAAAGUCCAAAGGGAUUAAAAUAUUGCAAUUUUGUUAAACUUCUCUCUUAUUUCUUUUUUUAAAGCAUAUAUCCAAUCCAAAUAUUUGGAAUUUGGAUGAUAUAUUUGAUUUUGAUUUCUUCCUUUUCUAUUGUGUAGACUUACCUUUUCAAAUAAGUUGGUUCGUUCAGAGCUUUGGAGAAAUGGGUAUAUCUAGUUUUGGAUGUGUGCGUUGAUUAAUACACAUCCACAACUAGAUAUACCAAUUUCUCCAAAGCCUUAAUGAACCAACUUAGUUGAGAAGGAAAAGUCUACACAAUAGAAAAGGGAGAAAUCAAAAUCAAAUAUA
Long non-coding RNA from Magnolia sinica, 1075 nucleotides. RefSeq lists it as uncharacterized. The record is from RefSeq and is a predicted model, not a curated record. NCBI's taxonomy places the organism in Eukaryota, Viridiplantae, Streptophyta, Magnoliopsida, Magnoliales, Magnoliaceae. The transcript is spliced from 5 exons.